Non-coding RNA from Mycobacterium sp., 314 nucleotides. The record is from Rfam. Lineage: Bacteria; Bacillati; Actinomycetota; Actinomycetes; Mycobacteriales; Mycobacteriaceae.
ACGGAAGUUGAGCAAGGCCAAGGCCGAGCCGGAAGAGAAGGCUCGAUCUCCCGAACUCAGCUCCCCAGCACGGGUCCCGGAACCCACGCGGAGCACAUACCGCCAUACAGGUAAAAGCGUUGCGGGCCUGCGUAGUUGCGAAAAUCGAAUGACCUCGACGGCCCUUUGGGUGGGGCUGCGGUCAUAGCGAGUCGCAAAGGCGCCGAGGCCACCCACGCAACCCAUCACGCACGCUUGGUAUCCGGAUUCCCGUGUUGGCGGGCGGUGAGCCGAUGUGGUCGGAAGACCAUACGGAUCGCCGCCCGCUUCAUUUU